Molecule: microRNA precursor, 94 nt
Filed under: Cavia porcellus (domestic guinea pig)
Lineage: Eukaryota; Metazoa; Chordata; Mammalia; Rodentia; Caviidae
Description: microRNA 221 (ENSCPOG00000021969.2)
Rfam family: mir-221 microRNA precursor family (bases 9-92)
Source: RNAcentral
UCCAGGUCUGGGGCAUGAACCUGGCAUACAAUGUAGAUUUCUGUGUUUGUUGAACAACAGCUACAUUGUCUGCUGGGUUUCAGGCUACCUGGAA